AGAGUUUGAUCCUGGCUCAGGACGAACGCUGGCGGUGCGCCUAAUGCAUGCAAGUCGAACGGGCAAUGGGGCUUCGGCCCCGGCGCUAGUGGCAGACGGCUGAGUAACACGUAAGUGAUCUGCCCCGGAGAGGGGGAUAAUCCGGAGAAAUCCGGCCUAAUACCCCGUACGUUCAUAUGGUUACGGCCGUAUGAAGAAAGGUUUCGACCGCUCUGGGAGGAGCUUGCGGCCUAUCAGGUAGUUGGCGGGGUAAUGGCCCACCAAGCCUAAGACGGGUAACCGAUGUGAGAGCAUGAUCGGUCAGAGGGGGACUGAGACACGGCCCCCACUCCUACGGGAGGCAGCAGCAGGGAAUCUUGCGCAAUGGGCGAAAGCCUGACGCAGCGACACCGCGUGGGGGAAGAAGGCCUCAGGGUUGUAAACCCCUUUUCUGUGGGAAGAGAUAGGACGGUACCACAGGAAUAAGCAUCGGCUAACUACGUGCCAGCAGCCGCGGUAAUACGUAGGAUGCAAGCGUUGUCCGGAUUUACUGGGCGUAAAGGGUGUGUAGGCGGCAUGUUAAGUCUCAUGUGAAAUCUCCCGGCUCAACUGGGAGCGGUCAUGGGAAACUGGCAAGCUUGAGGGCAGCAGAGGAAAGCGGAAUUCCGGGAGUAGUGGUGGAAUGCGUAGAUACCCGGAGGAACACCAGAGGCGAAGGCGGCUUUCUGGGCUGUACCUGACGCUGAGACACGAAAGCGUGGGGAGCAAACCGGAUUAGAUACCCGGGUAGUCCACGCCCUAAACGAUGGAUACUAGAUAUAGGGGGUAUCGACCCCUCCUGUGUCGGAGCUAACGCGAUAAGUAUCCCGCCUGGGGAGUACGGCCGCAAGGCUAAAACUCAAAGGAAUUGACGGGUCCCCGCACAAGCGGCGGAGCGUGUGGUUUAAUUCGAUGAUAAGCGAAGAACCUUACCUGGGCUUGACAUGCGUCUGACAGCCCGUGAAAGCGGGUUUUCCUUCGGGACAGAUGCACAGAUGUUGCAUGGCUGUCGUCAGCUCGUG
This 1040-nucleotide ribosomal RNA is filed under the name uncultured bacterium. RNAcentral's name for it is "bacterial SSU rRNA". It matches the Rfam family "Bacterial small subunit ribosomal RNA", at positions 8 to 1064 of the family's 1533-position model. The record is from RNAcentral.